AAUGCCAUAGAGGGUCAGGAUUACAAUCUGCCUAUUCUGAUUCUUCUACUAUGGGAAAAAUUCUUUUCCACAAUUGAUGUAAAAGCCUCUGUUAAUAGUUUUCCUGUUAACAACCUAACUAUUCGACUGCUGAAUAAAAACCAUUAGGACACCUAAAGUAACAGAAAGGAUUUUGGCAAGAAAUAGUCAUUCCAAUAUCAAUGACUAUGGAGGAAAUGCGAUUACUUUUCUUUGCUUGUUUUCCUGGUUUGUGUACUUAAUUAUGAGUCACAGAAUUUAUAACAACCCCAAAACGUACCAUUUUUAUACAAAAAUUAAAUAAUAGCCCAAACUAAGUAUUUGGCUCUUAGGAAUUUGAGAACUUUUGCAAAAUGAUAACAUCUCUCAUAAAAAAUAAAUGUUGUUAAACUAUAUAUAUUUAAUAAACCCAUUGCAGUAACUAGCAAAAAUAAAUUUAGCUUUCUGAAAUGCCUAAGUGCAUACUGAAUGUUUCUCUAGAUACUCUCUGAAACUUGGAAACUAAGUUUAAAAACAUAAACUCUCUUUCUUUAAAUAAACGCCAUUCAAAAGUAGUACUAAA
Mandrillus leucophaeus (drill) is the source of this 580-nucleotide long non-coding RNA. RefSeq lists it as uncharacterized. The record is from RefSeq and is a predicted model, not a curated record. The transcript is spliced from 2 exons. NCBI's taxonomy places the organism in Eukaryota, Metazoa, Chordata, Mammalia, Primates, Cercopithecidae.